Molecule: long non-coding RNA, 1924 nt
Filed under: Homo sapiens (human)
Lineage: Eukaryota; Metazoa; Chordata; Mammalia; Primates; Hominidae
Description: HSALNT0143873
Source: RNAcentral
UCACUGAUGGUAUGGAAGAAGGGGAAUCUCACACAGGCUUUGGGCUCUUAGAAAUCUACAGUGUCAGUGGACUUUCAUUUUCAGGAAAAUUGAAUGGAAAUACUUUUUCUCUAUUACCUGUGCUAAGUAAAAUUAAAACUCUGGAUAUUGUACAUAAAGCAAGCAUAAGAAGACUCUGAGCAGACCAGCUAGAAACCUCGGAUCCUGAGGAAUGACAAGGUGACCAUAGCAGGCAGAGGAGCAGAAGAACAGAGCAGCAGACACCAGCAGACCUGCAGACCAGCAAUGGCGGAAUGUUGCGGAAGAGAAAGCGAGAAGAGGAGGGACAUCUGGACACUGACGGGAAUUCCGCCAGGGGCCGUCAGAGAAGAGUCUGGCCACUAGGUGGCCCAACUCCAGGGGAAGACCAGCUUCCUACUCCAUUUCCUCCUUCUGGCUCCCUGUCCAUCUUGCUGAGAGCCACCUCCACCACUCAAUCAAACCUUGCACUCAUCCUUUGAGCCCACGUGUGAUCCGAUUUUUCUGGUACACUGGGCAAGAGCUCAGGAUACAGAAAGCUGUCACACUGGCCCUCUGCCCUUGUCUUAAGGCAGAGGGUCUAUUGAGCUGAUUAACACAAGCCAUCCGCAGACAGCAAAGCUGAAAGAGCACACUGUAACACACGCCCAUUUGGGCUUUGGGAGUCGCAGACACUCACCCCUUGAUGCUGCUGUGGGGAUGGAGCCCAAAAGCACUCCCUGCAGCCUCUGCACCUGUUUGUCUGCAUGCUCUUGCUAGGGUUUUAAGCAGCAGGGUGACAGGUCAGUACAGGAAAAGGAUGAUAAAGCAUGAAAAAAGGAACUUUACAGGUGAGGAAACCUGAAUGACUGUAUUAGCUCAUUCUCAUACUGCUAUAAAGAACUGCCCUAGACUGGGUAAUUUAUAAAGAAAGGAGAUUUAAUUGACUCACAGUUCUGCAUGGCUGGGGAGGUCUCAGGAAACUUACAAUCAUGGCGGAAGGGGAAGAGGCAUGUCUUAAUGACGGCCGGCAAGAGAGAGUAUGGAGGAGGAGGAACGGUCAGACACUUAUAAAACCAUCAGAUCUCAUGAGAACUCACUCACUAUCAUAAGAACAGCAUGGGGGAUAACGCCCCAUGAUCCAAUCACCUCCUACCAGGUCUCUCCCUCAACACGUGGGGAUUAUGGGAUUACAAUUCAAGGUGAGAUUUGGGUGGAGACACAAAGCCUAACCAUAUUAAAGACUAAGAAAUGUGAAAAUAAAUUUGAUAUUUCUAGGAACUGGAUAAAUGAAGGUUACAACAAUGAGAUAUUCACGAUCAGUUAGGAAAGGAUUAAAACAAGUACUGAGACAAACAGAGGCUAAGUUUUUAUACCAAUAAUGGGAGUCUAAAUUGAUAUAACAACUUUGGAGAGUAAUUUCCCAAUAUUUGAAAAACAGUGUUGAUGCACACGUCUGAUAUCCUUAGUCAUUCUAUGUUUAGAUACCUGUCCCCAUCAAAUUCUUAUAUAUGGACCAGUUAAUUACUGGGAGGCAACUAUUCAUGGGUCUCUCAAGUUUCUACAUAUUUGCAAGCAAAGUUACAAAUUGUUGUUCUGUUCCAAAUUAUCUUUUCAAGGAUGUUAGUAAGGUAAACAGACUUGGAAGAAAGAGAUCAUGUCUGUAGAGGGCAGGUUUACUUGCUAUUUAGUACAAUUAAAGUAAUGUCUCCCUUUGGAACAAACUUCAGGUAUAUUUGUUUAUGGUGUGUUACAAAAAAAUUAGGCUCCAUAAACUCAGAGUUCUUCAGUUCUAAUGCAAAUCCACUGUGUAUAUAGAAUCCACCUGGGUCUCUACAAGUUGCUCCCAUGGAAACUGGGCACAAAAGAGAAAUGGGUGAAAAUAUGCUAAUUCUCAUGCUGCUUGUUGUGCUAUGAGUAAUAAAAU